This 1372-nucleotide ribosomal RNA is filed under the name uncultured bacterium. RNAcentral describes it as "bacterial SSU rRNA". It matches the Rfam family "Bacterial small subunit ribosomal RNA", at positions 28 to 1381 of the family's 1533-position model. The record is from RNAcentral.
GAUGAACGCUGGCGGCGUGCCUAAUACAUGCAAGUCGAGCGAACGGACGAGAAGCUUGCUUCUCUGAUGUUAGCGGCGGACGGGUGAGUAACACGUGGAUAACCUACCUAUAAGACUGGGAUAACUUCGGGAAACCGGAGCUAAUACCGGAUAAUAUUUUGAACCGCAUGGUUCAAAAGUGGAAGACGGUCUUGCUGUCACUUAUAGAUGGAUCCGCGCUGCAUUAGCUAGUUGGUAAGGUAACGGCUUACCAAGGCAACGAUGCAUAGCCGACCUGAGAGGGUGAUCGGCCACACUGGAACUGAGACACGGUCCAGACUCCUACGGGAGGCAGCAGUAGGGAAUCUUCCGCAAUGGGCGAAAGCCUGACGGAGCAACGCCGCGUGAGUGAUGAAGGUCUUCGGAUCGUAAAACUCUGUUAUUAGGGAAGAACAUAUGUGUAAGUAACUGUGCACAUCUUGACGGUACCUAAUCAGAAAGCCACGGCUAACUACGUGCCAGCAGCCGCGGUAAUACGUAGGUGGCAAGCGUUAUCCGGAAUUAUUGGGCGUAAAGCGCGCGUAGGCGGUUUUUUAAGUCUGAUGUGAAAGCCCACGGCUCAACCGUGGAGGGUCAUUGGAAACUGGAAAACUUGAGUGCAGAAGAGGAAAGUGGAAUUCCAUGUGUAGCGGUGAAAUGCGCAGAGAUAUGGAGGAACACCAGUGGCGAAGGCGACUUUCUGGUCUGUAACUGACGCUGAUGUGCGAAAGCGUGGGGACCAAACAGGAUUAGAUACCCUGGUAGUCCACGCCGUAAACGAUGAGUGCUAAGUGUUAGGGGGUUUCCGCCCCUUAGUGCUGCAGCUAACGCAUUAAGCACUCCGCCUGGGGAGUACGACCGCAAGGUUGAAACUCAAAGGAAUUGACGGGGACCCGCACAAGCGGUGGAGCAUGUGGUUUAAUUCGAAGCAACGCGAAGAACCUUACCAAAUCUUGACAUCCUUUGACAACUCUAGAGAUAGAGCCUUCCCCUUCGGGGGACAAAGUGACAGGUGGUGCAUGGUUGUCGUCAGCUCGUGUCGUGAGAUGUUGGGUUAAGUCCCGCAACGAGCGCAACCCUUAAGCUUAGUUGCCAUCAUUAAGUUGGGCACUCUAAGUUGACUGCCGGUGACAAACCGGAGGAAGGUGGGGAUGACGUCAAAUCAUCAUGCCCCUUAUGAUUUGGGCUACACACGUGCUACAAUGGACAAUACAAAGGGCAGCGAAACCGCGAGGUCAAGCAAAUCCCAUAAAGUUGUUCUCAGUUCGGAUUGUAGUCUGCAACUCGACUACAUGAAGCUGGAAUCGCUAGUAAUCGUAGAUCAGCAUGCUACGGUGAAUACGUUCCCGGGUCU